GAUGAACGCUGGCGGCGUGCCUAAUACAUGCAAGUCGAGCGAACAGACGAGGAGCUUGCUCCUCUGACGUUAGCGGCGGACGGGUGAGUAACACGUGGAUAACCUACCUAUAAGACUGGGAUAACUUCGGGAAACCGGAGCUAAUACCGGAUAAUAUAUUGAACCGCAUGGUUCAAUAGUGAAAGACGGUUUUGCUGUCACUUAUAGAUGGAUCCGCGCCGCAUUAGCUAGUUGGUAAGGUAACGGCUUACCAAGGCAACGAUGCGUAGCCGACCUGAGAGGGUGAUCGGCCACACUGGAACUGAGACACGGUCCAGACUCCUACGGGAGGCAGCAGUAGGGAAUCUUCCGCAAUGGGUGAAAGCCUGACGGAGCAACGCCGCGUGAGUGAUGAAGGCCUUCGGAUCGUAAAACUCUGUUAUUAGGGAAGAACAAAUGUGUAAGUAACUAUGCACGUCUUGACGGUACCUAAUCAGAAAGCCACGGCUAACUACGUG
RNAcentral lists this ribosomal RNA (497 nucleotides) under uncultured bacterium. RNAcentral's name for it is "partial 16S ribosomal RNA". It matches the Rfam family "Bacterial small subunit ribosomal RNA", at positions 28 to 507 of the family's 1533-position model. The record is from RNAcentral.